This 253-nucleotide ribosomal RNA is filed under the name uncultured bacterium. RNAcentral's name for it is "partial 16S ribosomal RNA". It matches the Rfam family "Bacterial small subunit ribosomal RNA", at positions 524 to 776 of the family's 1533-position model. The record is from RNAcentral.
UACGUAGGGGGCAAGCGUUGUCCGGAUUUAUUGGGCGUAAAGAGCGUGUAGGCGGCUUUACAGGUCCGUUGUGAAAACUCGAGGCUCAACCUCGAGACGCCGGUGGAAACCGUAAGGCUAGAGUCCGGAAGAGGAGAGUGGAAUUCCUGGUGUAGCGGUGAAAUGCGCAGAUAUCAGGAAGAACACCCGUGGCGAAGGCGGCUCUCCGGGACGGUACUGACGCUGAGACGCGAAAGCGUGGGGAGCGAACAGG